This 481-nucleotide ribosomal RNA is filed under the name uncultured Lachnospiraceae bacterium. RNAcentral describes it as "partial 16S ribosomal RNA". Lineage: Bacteria; Bacillati; Bacillota; Clostridia; Lachnospirales; Lachnospiraceae. The record is from RNAcentral.
CACGUAGUUAGCCGGGGCUCCUUACUCAGGUACCGUCAUCUUCUUCCCUGCUGAUAGAGCUUUACAUACCGAAAUACUUCUUCACUCACGCGGCGUUGCUGCAUCAGGGUUUCCCCCAUUGUGCAAUAUUCCCCGCUGCUGCCUCCCGUAGGAGUUUGGGCCGUGUCUCAGUCCCAAUGUGGCCGGUCACCCUCUCAGGUCGGCUACUGAUCGUCGCCUUGGUGGGCCGUUACCCCUCAACUAGCUAAUCAGACGCGGGUCCAUCUCAUACCACCGGUAGUUUUUCACACAAGAACAUGCAUCCUCGUGCGCUUAUGCGGUAUUAGCAGUCAUUUCUAACUGUUACUCCCCCUGUACUGACGGCACGGUUACCCACGUCGUUACUCCGACCCGUCCGCCACUCACGUCAAUCUAGCCUCCAUACCGAAAACUUCCGACUAAACUCGUCUUCGUUCGACUUGCAUGUGUUAAGCACGCCGCC